This 411-nucleotide unclassified non-coding RNA is filed under the name unidentified. Its description in RNAcentral is "sequence contains 28S rRNA gene". The record is from RNAcentral.
GUGAGUUCGAGGCUGGUAUCUCCAAGGAUGGCCAGACCAGAGAGCACGCUUUGUUGGCUUUCACCUUGGGUGUUAGACAAUUGAUUGUUGCCAUCAACAAGAUGGACUCCGUCAAGUGGGACCAAUCCAGAUUCGAGGAGAUUGUCAAGGAAACCUCUAACUUCGUCAAGAAGGUUGGUUACAACCCUAAGACUGUUCCUUUCGUGCCAAUCUCUGGUUGGAACGGUGACAACAUGAUUGAGCCAUCCACCAACUGCCCAUGGUACAAGGGUUGGGAGAAGGAGACCAAGGCCGGUAAGUCCACCGGUAAGACCUUGUUGGAGGCCAUUGACGCCAUUGAGCCACCUUCGAGACCAACCGACAAGCCAUUGAGAUUGCCAUUGCAGGAUGUCUACAAGAUCGGUGGUAUCG